ACGGAGGGUGCAAGCGUUAUUCGGAAUUACUGGGCGUAAAGCGCACGCAGGCGGUUUGUUAAGUCAGAUGUGAAAUCACCGGGCUUAACCUGGGAACUGCAUCUGAUACUGGCUAGCUUGAGUCUCGUAGAGGGGGGUAGAAUUCCAGGUGUAGCGGUGAAAUGCGUAGAGAUCUGGAGGAACACCGAUGGCGAAGGCAGCCGACUGGACGAAGACUGACGCUCAGGUGCGAAAGCGUGGGUAGCAAACAG
RNAcentral lists this ribosomal RNA (251 nucleotides) under uncultured prokaryote. RNAcentral's name for it is "partial 16S rRNA". It matches the Rfam family "Bacterial small subunit ribosomal RNA", at positions 525 to 775 of the family's 1533-position model. The record is from RNAcentral.